RNAcentral lists this ribosomal RNA (546 nucleotides) under uncultured bacterium. RNAcentral's name for it is "bacterial SSU rRNA". It matches the Rfam family "Bacterial small subunit ribosomal RNA", at positions 777 to 1314 of the family's 1533-position model. The record is from RNAcentral.
AAUAGAUACCCAGGUAGUCCACGCCGUAAACGAUGAGUGCUAAGUGUUAGAGGGUUUCCGCCCUUUAGUGCUGAAGUUAACGCAUUAAGCACUCCGCCUGGGGAGUACGGCCGCAAGGCUGAAAACUCAAAGGAAGUUGACGGGGGCCCGCACAAGCGGUGGAGCAUGUGGUUUAAUUCGAAGCAACGCGAAGAACCUUACCAGGUCUUGACAUCCUCUGAAAACCCUAGAAAUAGGGCUUCUCCUUCGGGAGCAGAGUGACAGGUGGUGCAUGGUUGUCGUCAGCUCGUGUCGUGAGAUGUUGGGUUAAGUCCCGCAACGAGCGCAACCCUUGAUCUUAGUUGCCAUCAUUUAGUUGGGCACUCUAAGGUGACUGCCGGUGACAAACCGGGAGGAAGGUGGGGAUGACGUCAAAUCAUCAUGCCCCUUAUGACCUGGGCUACACACGUGCUACAAUGGACGGUACAAAGAGCUGCAAGACCGCGAGGUGGAGCUAAUCUCAUAAAAACCCGGUUUCUCAGUUUCGGAUUGUAGGCUGCAACUCCG